GACAGGUGAAAAAGGAGAUAAAGGUGACCCAGUUGAAAUAAGGAUCAAAGGAGUAAAAGGACAAAGAGGUGUUCCAGGAAUACAUGGAUUUCCAGGAAUAAAUGGAGCUGUUGGCAAGACUGGAGAUGGAGGACUGCCGGGUGAUAAAGGAAUUCAAGGAGAAGAUGGAAGAGAUACACAAGGUGAUAAAGGAUUUCCUGGAGACCCUGGAAUUCCUGGCUCAAGAGGUCAAAUGGGGACACCAGGUUUUGGGAUUCAGGGCCCACAAGGUAUCCCAGGCCUACCCGGAGAUCCAGGAAGCCCUGGUAUGAAAGGAACUUCUGGGCCAAAAGGUCAAAAAGGUAAUCUAAUUGAUGUUCAAAAUAAAAAAGGUAAAU
RNAcentral lists this long non-coding RNA (377 nucleotides) under Naja naja (Indian cobra). RNAcentral describes it as "lncRNA (ENSNNAG00000009010.1)". Lineage: Eukaryota; Metazoa; Chordata; Lepidosauria; Squamata; Elapidae. The record is from RNAcentral.